Molecule: unclassified non-coding RNA, 311 nt
Filed under: Hevea brasiliensis (rubber tree)
Lineage: Eukaryota; Viridiplantae; Streptophyta; Magnoliopsida; Malpighiales; Euphorbiaceae
Source: RNAcentral
GGUCUUGCUAAUUUGAUCAUUUGUGUUAAAGCAAUAUGUGACGACAAUUGUUGUAGCCUGUACAAGUUACUCAAAUAUUGAGAUCUGCUCCUUUGUGGGUUGAUUUUAGUUGGUGUAGAUUUGUUUUUUGAUGAUCUUCUUUCUUUUAUUUCAUCCUAUGCUUAUGUAUGGUGAACGAGAAUCAGUGGGCUCUGCCUCUGAUUUGUUCUGAUGUAGCUUGUUUCUUCUACAUGUUCAUGCAUUGUUUGCAUUCUUCUUCUUGGGAAAACUUUGUGUAUAUCCAUGUAUUUCUUCUUUUUGGGUGAUCUGGG